AUGCUGGUUGAAGGCGGGUUCCGACGUGAGACACCCCGAAACCUGCUCCCCUGUGAGAACAAAGGCAGGUGCCGAGCGAGAGCCUGGUUGGUGCCGGACGCUCCCCGGCGUACUCCGGGCCCCAGAGAUUGCUCUGCCCACUGGAGCCGAGUUCCGUGCACACUGGAACCCCAGCUCCCCACCCAGCCCUGGCUGAAACCACAUAAGACUGUGCGUUAUGACAUCACCUGUUUUCGGGCUGGAGAACGCGAUCAGUAUUCUCGGCUUCUGCUUUUCUUAAAGGUCGCUAGCGUACGAGGAUCCGUGAAGGCCUGCAGUUGGCAGAAUGAAUCUGUGGAGAUGAUUUACACGAAUGAUUUCACUGGUACAAUAGUUCUUAGGAUUUGCCAAGAUCUUGGAAAAUAAAGGAGAUGCUUCACCCGACCAGUGAGGAUCCUCUUUGCCACACCUUUGGAAAUGUUGUGGAUGGGGAAUUAAAGGAAGUGGUGUUGCCCCACCCAGGGCCAUCCCAGAAGGACUGUGGUUGUGCUGGACGUGCUGUUGAUGCAACAACUCUACUGUUGUUUCUGUCUAUUUGAAACCUGUCACUUUGCAUUUUCUUUCUCCAAGAAGACCCAAACAUCAAGAGACUCCCAUGUCUUGGGGGAACUGGAACGCCUAGGAAUGGAAACAAAUGGAAAUACAUUAUACAAGUGGAACUUCAGCUAUGACCUGAAAUGUGUUACCUAAGAGCUCUGUAAGGGAGAAAUUGAAAACUUUUUUUCUAUCUUAAUAUUAUAUAAUCUAGUCACUGUUGAAAAGCCCUUCAAAUUUCAUUUUUUUAGUAAUUACUUUGUAGAGUUUUUUGAGGAUUAAAUGAAAAAAUUUAUGUAAAGUGCAUAGAACAGUGUCCCUCCUGUUAUGACCACUCAAUAAAUAUUACCUAUUAUUAUUACUUUUAAAACUUUUCAUGCAGCAAUAAUAUAUUUGUUCAACUGCAAUUGAAAUUUAUUUGAAUUCAACUGCAAUUGAAAUUUAUUUGAAUUUUAAUGUUUUGGGCUCCUUGGUGUCAUUUACCACUGUAUUUGAUUUAAAAGGGCUCAAGUACUUGGUAAUAUGCAAGGUGGAUCAUCAAGCAUUUUUACUGAAAUUGUGUUUGCAAAGUACAUUUUGGUCUUCUAUUAGUCUGUUCAGUCCCACUGUAAGAUAGAGAAUUCUGUGUCAGAGAUCCUGUUGAAAAAUGAAGAAUCUAAGUGUCAGGAGAAAUUAAAUGACAACAAUUAAAUGACAACAUUCUAACCUCUCUCUAGAUGAAGAAAGACCAUCUUCUCUGGGACUUGGGCUCAUACGUGAGGUAUAUGUAACCACACUGGAGUAGGAAGCGGCACCCCACUCCAGUGUUCUUGCCUGGGAAAUCCCAUGACAGCGGAGUGUGGCGGGCUGCAGUCCACGGUGGUUGCAAAGAAUCAGACGUGACUGAGUGAUUAGACAACAAUAGCAGUGCAUCCACACACAUGAAUAUAUGCCUUUAUGUGUCCUACUGUCAACAAACUCUCUUUUUUUUCUUUUUUGGCCAUGCUGUGCAGCUUGUGGGAUCUUAUUUCCCCAACCAGGAAUUGAACCCAAGCCCUCUGUAGUGGAAUUGAGGAGUUCUAACUCCUGGCCCGCCUGGUAAUUCCCUCAAAAUUCUUUUUCCUAGAGUAUGGAAAGGCAAAAAGCUAGAGCUAGUGAGUAAUAAUCAUUCCUUAAGCUUUUGACUGAUGAGCUGCAGCUUGUCAGCUAAUGAAAAGGAAGUAUUAUUCCCAUUUAAGAGCUGGAAUCCUGAGAUAGAGUGCCCUGGCUCUUGCCAUCAAGACUUUUGCCUGCUAGCCAAUAGCUGAUGAUCUCAGUUUUGCUCUACAAGAGGCAACUAACUACCUUUAGGAAUAUAGACAAUAUCACAAAAGAUAACAUGCCUGAUGUAUUUUGUAUGACUCUAGUAAGAAGCUAACCAUACUAUAAAUAGGUCUGGGUUUUUUUUAAAUAUAGGUCUGGGCUAAGAGGGUCUUCUGGGAAGUGUAAAUGGGGAGGAUAUAUAAAGCAUGGACCAAGCCAUGGAUUCUUUCAUCUUUGCCUUUUACAAUUGCCCUCUGUUUAUAGAAGUCUAUUUAUGAGUCUGCCUUGGUCAUCAGGCAAAAUGCCUUAUUUAUUUCCUGGCUGUUUACAAAAC
Molecule: long non-coding RNA, 2188 nt
Filed under: Bos grunniens (domestic yak)
Lineage: Eukaryota; Metazoa; Chordata; Mammalia; Artiodactyla; Bovidae
Description: lncRNA (ENSBGRG00000012137.1)
Source: RNAcentral